Molecule: ribosomal RNA, 224 nt
Filed under: uncultured bacterium
Lineage: Bacteria
Description: partial 16S ribosomal RNA
Rfam family: Bacterial small subunit ribosomal RNA
Source: RNAcentral
AAAAGACAGUCUCAGUUCGGAUUGAAGGCUGAAAUUCGCCUUCAUGAAGCCGGAAUUGCUAGUAAUGGCAGGUCAGCAUACUGCCGUGAAUACGUUCCCGGGCCUUGUACACACCGCCCGUCACACCAUGAGAGUUGGGAAUACCCGAAGCCUGUGAGCUAACUGUAAAGAGGCAGCAGUCGAAGGUAGAAUCAAUGAUUGGGGUGAAGUCGUAACAAGGUAGC